This is a long non-coding RNA of Lagenorhynchus albirostris (white-beaked dolphin), 1331 nucleotides long. RefSeq lists it as uncharacterized. The transcript has 3 exons. The record is from RefSeq and is a predicted model, not a curated record. NCBI's taxonomy places the organism in Eukaryota, Metazoa, Chordata, Mammalia, Artiodactyla, Delphinidae.
UGGUAGUGGAAAUGCAGUCAUUCACCCAACAAAUACUGAGCACUUCCCGCGUGCUGGUUGUUAGGGGUAUGGCAGUAAUAACGGUCUCUGCUCUCGUGUAGUUACGUUCUGGUGUGGCAAGAGCCAAUAAACAAAUACAUGUCAGAUGAUGGUAAAUGCAGUGAAGAAAAGUAAUGCAGUGGAGAGGUUGAACGGGGAGUGUGGCUUUACAGAGGGCGGUCAGGGAAGGCCUCCAGUAACGCGACAGAGACCUGAACUACGGAGAGGAGUGAGCCAGGCUGAUGUCUGCAGAAGGAGCUGGAUUCCAGUCAGAGGAAACAGUACCAGCAGAGCCCAGCGAGUUCAAGCAAGAGCAAGGAGCAGAGCGGCCAGGGCGGAGCGUGGAAGGAGGAGAACCUGCAACAUGUAAAUCGCAGAAGCUGAUGGAAGAGCAUCUUAACAAGGAAGAAGAGGGUAACGAUGUCCUUUGCUGUUGAGAAGGUUGAAAUUUGCCAGUCGCUGAUGGGGAAACAGGUUCAGAGCGGAUUGGUAACUGCCGAGACCGCACAUUCAGUAAACAGCAGAGCCAGGAUCGUGAUGUGUCGUGUCCUCUGGCUUCCCAGCACUCAUUUUCCGUGUCAUAAGCAGCCCCAUGUCUCCUGCUUUGCACUGACUUUAACCCAUCCACCCACCCGGUGUGAAUAACUUCGUGGCAAAGCGUCAUUCUGAAACUGUCCAAGGAGAGGGAGGACAGCAAGGGAUGGUGACGACAAUCUGUGGAGAGAAAGGCCACACCAUCCAAAGCCUGAAAAACAGCUGCUAAUACUAGUUUUGAGUCAGCCAACCCCCUGACUCAGCCUGGUAGGUCCUACACUUUUCCACCUCCAGCUUCAGGCGGGUCAUUCCAACUCAGGUAACCUCUCAGCUGUGUCUGCCCAGCGUUGUUAGCUAACUUGGGGACAUACCCAUGGCUUGAUACUGAACAGUGCAGGGAAGUGGGGAUGCUUUGGGUUGCUGGGGAGGCCUGCCGACACCCCACAACUGUCCUCAGACCAAAACCUGGGAUGUUUACCCCCCUUUGUCACAUCCCCACACAGAUGAGGGACUUUCCUCUCCACUGAGACUGUCCCUGGUGAUGCAGAGCAGUGUCAGAUCAAAGCCAACAAAUUCAUAGCCACCUGGUUUGAGCAUGUCUGCUCAGCCAGCGCUCAUGGCUGAAGUGGGAAUGGGCAUCAGAGAGCAUCGUCCAACUUCCUCACGUUACAGAUGGGAAAAUGGAGGCCGAGAGAGAAGUCACCUUCUAAGGCAAGAGACCAGUGAGUAGCAGAACCGGGACAGGGCCCAGGUCUUCU